UACCCCCCUCCAAGACAGUGCUGAUUCCUGAACGUUACGUGUCGGACACGGAGUCUGAGGAGUCACUAACGCCUGAGGAGCAGGCUCAGCGCCGACGCAAGGCAGCCAAGUUCCAGAAGCUGCUUUCCAACUACAGCAUGCAGGACCUGUCUAAAGCCAACUCGGAGCGAGAGAAGAAGGACCGCGCCCACAUCCUCUCCGUGCAGGCCGCCCUCGCCUCGCAGGUCAAACAGGAGAGUCGCAAGAUGGCGCGCUCGCCGCACCUGGAGCGCAAAAACUUCACCGUUCCCGAGGACAGAGGCACAUACCUGUAGUGUAGAAUAUCUACUGUUGUAGCUCUAGUAGCAGGGCAAUGGAACUUCCUAUGGGGCCUGGUCACAUUUGGUGUACAGUAGUUGUACGAUAACUGCAAACCAAGAGCAAUCUUGGGACAGUUGUGCUUGUGUUUGUUUCACAACUGGUGUGUUACGCCUUUAACGCACCAGUUUUGUACACUUAAGUACAAGCUGCAGACCGGCUGUAAGGUUUGAACCACUCACACCGGGAAGGACAUCUACUCAAGAAGUAUGGUGGGUUCUUUAACGUACUUGGGCCAGAGGUGUGGCUCUCUUCAAACAUGCGACCUCCAUUUAAUAUCCUAUCCAAGGGACAUCCCUAACCGAAGCUAGGUACUCAUUUCCACCUGAGUGAAGUGAGGAAAGUCGUGUAAAAUGCCUUCCAUAGGCAAAAGAUCCAGUAACAUUGUAGUAUUCGAACCCGGGACCUCUUGGUAUAAGCCGAACACGCUACUGUUUACGCCACUCAACCCCACUCUCAUACAAAAAUUCAACAGUGUUAGAACAUUGUCAGUUGCAGCCUGUUUUGAAAUUCGACAACAUCAAAAUCGUACAACCUACAUGUACAAUGAAUGUGACCAUUCUGGUAAGACUUUACUGUUGUUGCUACUGUCAUGCCAAUAUCCUGAAGGAAUGGAGAAAUUUUUACAGCAAAAUGAUGCAGCUCCUAUUGUAAAUUUAGGCUUUCAUAAUGCAAGAAAUUUUUCAAAAUAAAAAUUCAGAAUUUAGACAUUGAAGUCUUCAAUUGAAAAUGGCAGCUUGAAUUGAUUUUUAGAGAAAUGUUAUUCUUAGUCUAACACAAUGUAAUCAUAUAUUCAAUACAAACUUUUUAAUAACUCAAGGGCUCAUUUUAAAGUAUAAUAUAGCCCACAAGGGACCAAUGGUUUUUAUCAUGUAUACAAUGUAGGUUUGGGUUGACUGAAAUGAAAAAAAAAAAUCAUUCUACUUUAAGUAGAUAAACAACCAGGAGAAC
Branchiostoma belcheri (Belcher's lancelet) is the source of this 1308-nucleotide long non-coding RNA. RefSeq lists it as uncharacterized. The transcript is spliced from 2 exons. NCBI's taxonomy places the organism in Eukaryota, Metazoa, Chordata, Leptocardii, Amphioxiformes, Branchiostomatidae. The record is from RefSeq and is a predicted model, not a curated record.